This 476-nucleotide ribosomal RNA is filed under the name uncultured bacterium. Its description in RNAcentral is "bacterial SSU rRNA". It matches the Rfam family "Bacterial small subunit ribosomal RNA", at positions 21 to 518 of the family's 1533-position model. The record is from RNAcentral.
GGCUCAGGACGAACGCUGGCGGCAUGCCUAACACAUGCAAGUCGAACGGGGGUAGCAAUACCCUAGUGGCGAACGGGUGAGUAACACAUAAGCAAUCUGCCCUUCACAGGGGGAUAACAGCGGGAAACUGCUGCUAAUACCGCAUAAGACCACGGUACCGCAUGGUACAGGGGUAAAAACGAAUCAGUGGUGAAGGAUGAGCUUGUGUCCCAUUAGCUAGUUGGUGAGAUAACAGCCCACCAAGGCGACGAUGGGUAGCCGACCUGAGAGGGUGGUCGGCCACACUGGAACUGAGACACGGUCCAGACUCCUACGGGAGGCAGCAGUGGGGAAUAUUGGGCAAUGGAAGGAAACUCUUACCCAGCAAUGCCGCGUGAGUGAAGAAGGUCUUCGGAUUGUAAAGCUCUUUGAUUGGGGACGAAGAAAGUGACGGUACCCAAAGAACAAGCCCCGGCUAACUACGUGCCAGCCGCCGC